CAGGCGNUCAGGAAAGUCUGGAGUAAAAGGCUAUGGNUCAACCAUAGUGUGCUCUGGAAACUGUNUGACUUGAGUGCAGAAGGGGAGAGUGGAAUUCCAUGUGUAGCGGUGAAAUGCGUAGAUAUAUGGAGGAACACCAGUGGCGAAAGCGGCUCUCUGGUCUGUCACUGACGCUGAGGCUCGAAAGCGUGGGUAGCGAACAGGAUUAGAUACCCUGGUAGUCCACGCCGUAAACGAUGAGUGCUAGGUGUUAGGCCCUUUCCGGGGCUUAGUGCCGGAGCUAACGCAAUAAGCACUCCGCCUGGGGAGUACGACCGCAAGGUUGAAACUCAAAGGAAUUGACGGGGGCCCGCACAAGCGGUGGAGCAUGUGGUUUAAUUCGAAGCAACGCGAAGAACCUUACCAGGUCUUGACAUCCCGAUGCUAUUCUUAGAGAUAGGAAGUUACUUCGGUACAUCGGAGACAGGUGGUGCAUGGUUGUCGUCAGCUCGUGUCGUGAGAUGUUGGGUUAAGUCCCGCAACGAGCGCAACCCUUAUUGUUAGUUGCCAUCAUUAAGUUGGGCACUCUAGCGAGACUGCCGGUAAUAAACCGGAGGAAGGUGGGGAUGACGUCAAAUCAUCAUGCCCCUUAUGACCUGGGCUACACACGUGCUACAAUGGUCGGUACAACGAGUUGCGAGCCGGUGACGGCAAGCUAAUCUCUGAAAGCCGAUCUCAGUUCGGAUUGGAGGCUGCAACUCGCCUCCAUGAAGUCGGAAUCGCUAGUAAUCGCGGAUCAGCACGCCGCGGUGGAUACGUUCCCGGGCCUUGUACACACCGCCCGUCACACCACGAGAGUUUGUAACACCCGAAGUCGGUGAGGUAACCUUUUAGGGNCCAGCCGC
This 884-nucleotide ribosomal RNA is filed under the name uncultured bacterium. Its description in RNAcentral is "bacterial SSU rRNA". It matches the Rfam family "Bacterial small subunit ribosomal RNA", at positions 572 to 1456 of the family's 1533-position model. The record is from RNAcentral.